Non-coding RNA from Vicia faba (fava bean), 279 nucleotides. The record is from the annotation of a GenBank genome assembly. NCBI's taxonomy places the organism in Eukaryota, Viridiplantae, Streptophyta, Magnoliopsida, Fabales, Fabaceae.
AUGGAUGGAAAUCAAAAAGGAGAUAAGGGUCUCGCCCAGGUGGCUCCCGCAAGACCCGUCGAUAAGCUAAGGCUACGACAUGAAGGAAGGCCAGAAGAACUACAGAACCACGCCCACCAGAGCGAAAGGAGACCGAAGGGACUUGCGGGAGGUGAAGGUCGCUGGCUUGCCCGUGGGCCGUGGUAUCUGACGGGACAUUGGCCUCCCUCCCGCUACGGCUCGCUGUACGUUCCUUUAGCUAUAGGCGUGUCCAAUCUGAGAAUAGUCCAUUCCACAUAG